UCUGCCUUGUAGUGGGGGAUAACUUGCCGAAAGGUAAGCUAAUACCGCAUACGCCCUAAGGGGGAAAGCAGGGGACUCUUCGGAGCCUUGCGCUAUUAGAUGAGCCUAGGUCGGAUUAGUUAGUUGGUGGGGUAAUGGCUCACCAAGACCGCGAUCCGUAACUGGUCUGAGAGGAUGAUCAGUCACACUGGAACUGAGACACGGUCCAGACUCCUACGGGAGGCAGCAGUGGGGAAUAUUGGACAAUGGGGGGAACCCUGAUCCAGCCAUGCCGCGUGUGUGAAGAAGGCCUUCGGGUUGUAAAGCACUUUAAUUUGGGAGGAAGGGCUUACGGUUAAUAACCGCUAAGUUUUGACGUUACCAAAAGAAUAAGCACCGGCUAACUUCGUGCCAGCAGCCGCGGUAAUACGAAGGGUGCGAGCGUUAAUCGGAAUUACUGGGCGUAAAGCGCGCGUAGGUGGUUCAUUAAGUUAGGAGUGAAAGCCCCGGGCUCAACCUGGGAAUUGCUUCUAGAACUCGUGAGCUAGAGUACGGUAGAGGGUGGUGGAAUUUCCUGUGUAGCGGUGAAAUGCGUAAAUAUAGGAAAGGAACAUCAGUGGCGAAGGCGACCACCUGGACUGAUACUGACACUGAGGUGCGAAAGCGUGGGGAGCAAACAGGAUUAAAUACCCUGGUAGUCCACGCCGUAAACGAUGUCAACUA
This 702-nucleotide ribosomal RNA is filed under the name uncultured bacterium. Its description in RNAcentral is "bacterial SSU rRNA". It matches the Rfam family "Bacterial small subunit ribosomal RNA", at positions 125 to 818 of the family's 1533-position model. The record is from RNAcentral.